AGAGUUUGAUUAUGGCUCAGGAUGAACGCUAGCUACAGGCUUAACACAUGCAAGUCGAGGGGCAGCAUUGGAGUAGCAAUACUCAGAUGGCGACCGGCGCACGGGUGAGUAACACGUAUCCAACCUGCCGCUUACUCGGGGAUAGCCUUUCGAAAGAAAGAUUAAUACCCGAUGGUAUAAAGAGUUCGCAUGUUCUCUUUAUUAAAGAAUUUCGGUAAGCGAUGGGGAUGCGUUCCAUUAGAUUGUUGGCGGGGUAACGGCCCACCAAGUCUACGAUGGAUAGGGGUUCUGAGAGGAAGGUCCCCCACAUUGGAACUGAGACACGGUCCAAACUCCUACGGGAGGCAGCAGUGAGGAAUAUUGGUCAAUGGACGAGAGUCUGAACCAGCCAAGUAGCGUGAAGGAUGACUGCCCUAUGGGUUGUAAACUUCUUUUAUAAGGGAAUAAAGUGAGGGACGUGUCCCUUUUUGUAUGUACCUUAUGAAUAAGGAUCGGCUAACUCCGUGCCAGCAGCUGC
RNAcentral lists this ribosomal RNA (517 nucleotides) under uncultured bacterium. RNAcentral's name for it is "bacterial SSU rRNA". It matches the Rfam family "Bacterial small subunit ribosomal RNA", at positions 8 to 518 of the family's 1533-position model. The record is from RNAcentral.